GAUGAACGCUAGCGGCAGGCCUAACACAUGCAAGUCGAGGGGCAGCACGAUAAAGCUUGCUUUAUUGGUGGCGACCGGCGCACGGGUGCGUAACGCGUAUGCAACCUACCCUGUACUGGGGGAUAACCCGGAGAAAUUCGGACUAACACCCCAUAGUAAUAUACUUUCGCAUGUUAGUAUAUUUAAAGGUUACGGUACAGGAUGGGCAUGCGUCCUAUUAGCUAGAUGGUGAGGUAACGGCUCACCAUGGCGAUGAUAGGUAGGGGGCCUGAGAGGGUGGUCCCCCACACUGGUACUGAGACACGGACCAGACUCCUACGGGAGGCAGCAGUGAGGAAUAUUGGUCAAUGGGCGCAAGCCUGAACCAGCCAUGCCGCGUGCAGGAAGAAUGCCCUAUGGGUUGUAAACUGCUUUUAUUUGGGAAUAAACCUCUUUACGUGUAGAGAGCUGAAGGUACCAAAUGAAUAAGCACCGGCUAACUCCGUG
Molecule: ribosomal RNA, 486 nt
Filed under: uncultured bacterium
Lineage: Bacteria
Description: bacterial SSU rRNA
Rfam family: Bacterial small subunit ribosomal RNA
Source: RNAcentral